UGAUGCAUAGCCGAGUUGAGAGACUGAUCGGCCACAUUGGGACUGAGACACGGCCCAAACUCCUACCGUAGGCAGCAGUAGGGCCUCUACCUCAAUGGACGCAAGUCUGAUGGAGCAACGCCGCGUGAGUGAAGAAGGGUUUCGGCUCGUAAAGCUCUGUUGGUAGUGAAGAAAGAUAGAGGUAGUAACUGGCCUUUAUUUGACGGUAAUUACUUAGAAAGUCACGGCUAACUACGUGCCAGCAGCCGCGGUAAUACGUAGGUGGCAAGCGUUGUCCGGAUUUAUUGGGCGUAAAGCGAGUGCAGGCGGUUCAAUAAGUCUGAUGUGAAAGCCUUCGGCUCAACCGGAGAAUUGCAUCAGAAACUGUUGAACUUGAGUGCAGAAGAGGAGAGUGGAACUCCAUGUGUAGCGGUGGAAUGCGUAGAUAUAUGGAAGAACACCAGUGGCGAAGGCGGCUCUCUGGUCUGCAACUGACGCUGAGGCUCGAAAGCAUGGGUAGCGAACAGGAUUAGAUACCCUGGUAGUCCAUGCCGUAAACGAUGAGUGCUAAGUGUUGGGAGGUUUCCGCCUCUCAGUGCUGCAGCUAACGCAUUAAGCACUCCGCCUGGGGAGUACGACCGCAAGGUUGAAACUCAAAGGAAUUGACGGGGGCCCGCACAAGCGGUGGAGCAUGUGGUUUAAUUCGAAGCAACGCGAAGAACCUUACCAGGUCUUGACAUCCAGUGCAAACCUAAGAGAUUAGGAGUUCCCUUCGGGGACGCUGAGACAGGUGGUGCAUGGCUGUCGUCAGCUCGUGUCGUGAGAUGUUGGGUUAAGUCCCGCAACGAGCGCAACCCUUGUCAUUAGUUGCCAUCAUUAAGUUGGGCACUCUAAUGAGACUGCCGGUCACAAACCGCAGGAAGGUGGGGAUGACGUCAAGUCAUCAUGCCCCUU
Molecule: ribosomal RNA, 933 nt
Filed under: Lactobacillus gasseri
Lineage: Bacteria; Bacillati; Bacillota; Bacilli; Lactobacillales; Lactobacillaceae
Description: bacterial SSU rRNA
Rfam family: Bacterial small subunit ribosomal RNA
Source: RNAcentral